CAAGAUCAAGGGCAUCCACAUCAAAAACAGCACAGGCCUCCCACAGAAAAGGCUCUGAGCAGCCACAAUUAAGAAGAAUGUUAAUGUGAACUUAUGUGCUCAGAGAAGCACUUGUAGAAGAGAAAUGUAAGUUAUUACUGCAGAGAACACAAGCGCAGGGAUCUACUGUCCCCUCUUGGGAUGACAACAUAUGGGCAGAGCCGGGGCUCCGUUUGCAGUAAGCUUCCGCCUCGGAGCGGCUGCCGUCCCCGACAGAUCCGAGGAACUAUUUGACCUCCCUGCAUGUGCCUUUCAGUCAGUCCCCAUCAGCGCUGCUGCGGGAGGUGCCGACAUGAGAAUUUGAGUACGAGCGCUCGGAAGCAGGAGCUGGAAUGUGAUGCAGGAUUCCUGUGACCAGCAACUGGUUAUGUUAUUCUUGCAACUUCUAACUUGCAUCUGGGAAGGAAUUCCUCCACAAAUAAAUGCAACCCUGAAAUGAAGCUUAUGAAUGUUUAUUAAAAUUAGAAAUAGGGAAAUUACAGCA
Long non-coding RNA from Nothoprocta perdicaria, 523 nucleotides. RefSeq lists it as uncharacterized. The transcript is spliced from 4 exons. NCBI's taxonomy places the organism in Eukaryota, Metazoa, Chordata, Aves, Tinamiformes, Tinamidae. The record is from RefSeq and is a predicted model, not a curated record.